Non-coding RNA from Biscogniauxia marginata, 124 nucleotides. The record is from the annotation of a GenBank genome assembly. NCBI's taxonomy places the organism in Eukaryota, Fungi, Ascomycota, Sordariomycetes, Xylariales, Xylariaceae.
GUCCGGUUGGUGUAAUGGCAACACACUCAGAUUCAUGAUGCGCUGUGCCUUUGUCCUUGGUUGGAUGAUUGCCAGUCAGAAGGAACCUCUUUGAGUAAUCUUGGUUCGAAUCCAGGACUGGACG